Molecule: ribosomal RNA, 253 nt
Filed under: uncultured bacterium
Lineage: Bacteria
Description: partial 16S ribosomal RNA
Rfam family: Bacterial small subunit ribosomal RNA
Source: RNAcentral
UACAGAGGGUGCAAGCGUUAAUCGGAAUUACUGGGCGUAAAGCGCGCGUAGGCGGCUGCUUAAGUCGGAUGUGAAAUCCCCGGGCUCAACCUGGGAACUGCAUUCGAUACUGAGCAGCUAGAGUAUGAGAGAGGGAGGUAGAAUUCCACGUGUAGCGGUGAAAUGCGUAGAUAUGUGGAGGAAUACCGGUGGCGAAGGCGGCCUCCUGGCUUAAUACUGACGCUGAGGUGCGAAAGCGUGGGGAGCAAACAGG